This 253-nucleotide ribosomal RNA is filed under the name uncultured bacterium. RNAcentral's name for it is "partial 16S ribosomal RNA". It matches the Rfam family "Bacterial small subunit ribosomal RNA", at positions 524 to 776 of the family's 1533-position model. The record is from RNAcentral.
UACGUAGGGCGCAAGCGUUGUCCGGAAUUAUUGGGCGUAAAGAGCUCGUAGGCGGCCAGUUGCGUCUGCUGUGAAAUCCCGGGGCUCAACCCCGGGCGUGCAGUGGAUACGGGCUGGCUAGAGGCAGGCAGGGGAGAACGGAAUUCCCGGUGUAGCGGUGAAAUGCGCAGAUAUCGGGAGGAACACCGGUGGCGAAGGCGGUUCUCUGGGCCUGUACUGACGCUGAGGAGCGAAAGCGUGGGGAGCGAACAGG